GGCUCUCCUGAGCUGUUCUCUCUUGCCAUCUGCUGGUGUAUCUAUUUAACCAAAUGUAUAGCUGCUUAAAACUCAGUUCUUUUAGUUGAUAACCCCAGGGCUCUUUCAACUGAUUUGUGAUUCCAGAUCCCAGGCUGCUAGCUCCUAGAAAAGCCCUCAGAGAACAUGAGAUCCAAGAGAACAUUCACAGAAGAUCACGGGGAAGAAGAGAAAGUGGCGAGAGACAUUGGCCAGAUGGGAGCAUGAGAGAGGAUCCCAGAGCAGGGUUUUUACUGUUACUGCACCAAAGGUAGAUGUGAUCUGUAUACUCAGGGAGCUAGCUGGUCUGUCUGCAAAUAACAACAACAACUCUAAUGGAAGCCUGGAGUGAGAAAUUGUCCCCUUCAUACUCUUGUAGCCCUGGGGAUUUGCUGACUGACAAGCUGGGCUCAAACACCA
This is a non-coding RNA of Phascolarctos cinereus (koala), 438 nucleotides long. Lineage: Eukaryota; Metazoa; Chordata; Mammalia; Diprotodontia; Phascolarctidae. The record is from RefSeq and is a predicted model, not a curated record.